This is a non-coding RNA of Mycena vulgaris, 90 nucleotides long. NCBI's taxonomy places the organism in Eukaryota, Fungi, Basidiomycota, Agaricomycetes, Agaricales, Mycenaceae. The record is from the annotation of a GenBank genome assembly.
GGCCGGGUGGUGUAGUGGUAACACACUUGCUCUCUCUAAACUGAAGGAUAUCUGAGGCAGGAGUCCCUUGUUUGAAUCAAGGCCAGGCCG